Molecule: ribosomal RNA, 497 nt
Filed under: uncultured bacterium
Lineage: Bacteria
Description: partial 16S ribosomal RNA
Rfam family: Bacterial small subunit ribosomal RNA
Source: RNAcentral
GAUGAACGCUGGCGGCGUGCCUAAUACAUGCAAGUCGAACGCAUAGCGAAAGGUGCUUGCACCUUUCAAGUGAGUGGCGAACGGGUGAGUAACACGUGGACAACCUGCCUCAAGGCUGGGGAUAACAUUUGGAAGCAGAUGCUAAUACCGAAUAAAACUUAGUGUCGCAUGACACAAAGUUAAAAGGCGCUUCGGCGUCACCUAGAGAUGGAUCCGCGGUGCAUUAGUUAGUUGGUGGGGUAAAGGCCUACCAAGACAAUGAUGCAUAGCCGAGUUGAGAGACUGAUCGGCCACAUUGGGACUGAGACACGGCCCAGACUCCUACGGGAGGCUGCAGUAGGGAAUCUUCCACAAUGGGCGAAAGCCUGAUGGAGCAACGCCGCGUGUGUGAUGAAGGCUUUCGGGUCGUAAAGCACUGUUGUAUGGGAAGAACAGCUAGAAUAGGAAAUGAUUUUAGUUUGACGGUACCAUACCAGAAAGGGACGGCUAAAUACGUG